CGACCGCCGCUCUCUCAGCGGCUAAGGCCACACGGACAGCCGGGUCGAAUGCCGA
RNAcentral lists this small RNA (55 nucleotides) under unclassified sequences. Its description in RNAcentral is "Streptococcus sRNA SpF59 (ldcC RNA)". It matches the Rfam family "Streptococcus sRNA SpF59 (ldcC RNA)". The record is from Rfam by way of RNAcentral.